GGGGCUGGGGAGGCAGAUACGAAGGCGGGGGUCGCCGGAGCGUGGAUUCCCGGGCGGAUCCAUGGCAUCCGCGGUCCUGGGCAGAAAGGAGACGGGGAGGUGAGGGAGAGAAGAAGGAAGAAAGGAGGGGCUGUGCUGCGACCUAGGCAGGAGCUCACGGGAGUCGGGCGGAAGCGGGAGAUGGAGGGAUCCGGCGUGGCGGCGCGAAGUCCUUGCAGGUGGAGGCGGUCCUCCAUGGCUGGCAGGAAGAUCUCCAAGGCCAUGGCGGGUGCUGAGAAAUGUAGGAGAGGUUCCCUCCGUGGGGAUGGGGGAAGAUUGUCUACAGCAAGAGCAGACAAUGGAGGUGGAAGUAUGGAGAAGGAUGGGACGAUGUGCUUGCACUACUGCGACGGAGGGAAGGCGAAUUGAGUGAUACCAAAAGGAUUGUACAGUCAGACUGGAUGACAUUACGACUGAAUUACCUUGCAUCAGGUAAUCUUGUGUUAUAUUGGCAUCAGGUAAUCUUCUGGCAUUACGACUGAAUUACAUUUGGUACUGGUUUUAUCUGCUGCUCAUAUUGUGCAGCUUAUCUUGUUCUUCUAUACACAGUUCAGAUUGAUGUUCUGAAGAUUGAAAUGUGUGUGCAGUGUCUUGGGCAUCCGAGCUCUUCCUAGGAGUAGUCACUUCAUGUGCAUCUAGGGCAUCCAAUCAUCCAUCUUGCUGGUCCAGAAUUUGUGUAAGACUGAACUAUGUAAGGUUCCAUUGUCUUGCAAUGGAGCCGAGGAGCCUCCCUUGUUUUCUAUAAGAAAAAGAAUUAAGUAUCCUUUCCUCAUCUCACAUAAGCAAGAGAAUACCGGCACACAUAUUCUAAGACUAUCUCCAAUAUUGUUUGAUUUGGAGCUCUUAUGUGCAAAAUUCACCAAAAUGAAUCACAAUGCAAAUGGUCCAGUCCCUUUUUAUUUUCAUGGAUCCGUUGUAUAUUGAUUUUUGCCUCAAAUGCUCUAUAACAAUCGUAUCGCUUGCUGGUGUAGCCAUCUAUCUCAGAGCAGCAGUUGGCAAACCAAAUCCAAGGUGCAAUCUUUUUCCGGUAACUAAUAUAGUGGCAUAUAGUAUUGUCUUAAAAACAUGCAUAAUUGGUCAUACCUAUCAUACCAAUCUUAGAACAUGUUUUGAAUUCAGGUAAACUUAGGAACAUGUAUCUUGGUAGUUUGAACUUGAACUCUAUUUGGUCCUAAUAAGGCGAUAUGGUUACAUAGCUGAUUGACAUAUGCACAAUCAUUUUUUAAAGAAACAGAAAUAAAUAAAUUCAACAUUGAAUUAGUAGAACAUGAUGGUGUGUCCUGUUCCAUCCGUCCCUGGCUCGUUAACAUUGAAGGUGCCGUCUGCUGUGGUCAUCAGAGGCAUAGCUGCCCGUACUCAUCACAAGUUGUUGGCACUGGAUUUAUUAUGUAAACUCAAUGAUUUUGCUUGCUAGAUUUCCUUCAAUUUUUGACCCACAACGAGGAGUAUUACGAGGGCCUGGACAAACUUGAUUAAAUUAGUUUCUAUUUUGGUAUAGGUGGGACCAUCACUUUGGGAUGUUUUUCCAAUCUGCAUGUGCAAUUGUGCAUGACGAUCCUAAUUGUAUAUGUUGGACAUAUUCAUGUUGAGUAUAUGUUGAACGCAUGAUUGUUAAACCACUAUAGUAUGUAUACCCCGUUGCAACGCAUGAGCUCGAGGAGAAGAGGUAGGGAGAAGAAGGAAGGGUGCCGCAGGGGCGUAGCGGUGCAAGGGCGCUGGUCUUGUGCGCGUGGAGCAUCUCUCCUUGGGCGGUUGCGCUGGUUGGUUCGGCACGCAAAUGCCCACCUUGCCCACGUUCGACAACUCAUCGCCGGCGCGGAAGACAUGGACUCCUACCACAGAGAGCUCGCAUGCCCUGCAGCGGCUGGAACUGGCUGAAGGUCAUCCCGCAUCCUCGACUUCAUCCUUUCCUGCGCCCUCCUCCAUCCACGACCUCUGUCUUAUAUUUAGAAACGAAGGGAGUACCAACUAGGACUUAUGCUACUCCCAGCUCGAGCUCCACAAGCACGUUACUCCAGGUCUACGUCCUCAAGGUAUGGAACUUACACUACCUCUCUGCACCAGUCGAUGGCCCUGGACUAGCUGUCCCAAUGGCCUUGUCGCCUCCCUCGAUCCCUCAUGUUUCCUUCCACGAUGUAAUAGAUAUAGCAAUUUUUUUAUUUGUUGAGAGAUAAAUGUGCCGCAAUGUAAAUAGGCUAUGCUAGGAGUUCAGUUGCCCAGGGAACGAGAAUUUGUCCAUGAUACUCUGACUGAACCUAUUUUCAGGAUCAGAACUAAUGUUUUCAGAUGUCACCUUAUGAAGUUGCUUCAUUGUUGACGAGUUAAUGUCUUAUGCAACCCUGCCAUCUACAAUUUGCCAGUCAGAAGGUGACCUGAAGCUUAAAAUAGAGAAAAUGACCAUGAGCUCUGUCAAGUAAGAUAUUUUCUAUAUCGAGAUGCCUUAGGCUCAUAGUCCCCUUUCUGUUCUCUACGUCCUUGCUCAUUGGUUAAUUCGGGACAACAGUUUGUCCGAUCAAUCUAUGUUACUUUUCUGAGUUUAGAUUGUUGCCCCUUAGAAAUUUUUGAAUCAAUGCAUCAGAAUGGUUUCUUUGUUGUUUUAUGUGGAUAUGGAUUCUGGUCAUAUUUUUACACAUUAAGGAUUUUGAGUGCGAUCUAUGUAGUCACUGAAACCUAAUGUGCACAGUGUGUACAUGUAGCUAAUGUAUUUGAUUCUGAAAUAAAACAUAUUUUUUCUUUAGAUUGUGUUCUUUAGAUUGCAUGCAUGCAUACACCAUGUUUCUGUUUUGGUACCAGUAAAAAAUGUUUAUUUGGAGAACGAUCGAGCAGUAAUUCCCAUUUGGAGGCAAAGAGCAUCCUCCUUGCACCAGUGCGCUGGAUGACUACAUCAUACCACUUCUCUUAACCUGCGACUGGCUCUCUGCUAUGGGCAUAAGGGUCUGAUUACAUAACAUCAAGGUUUGACCAAUGUACCCAUUUGUUCUGAAAUUAGAUUAUAUAAGGGUUAUCAAAUUGUCAGAGAUUCGAGCCCAACGAUAAGAAGCAUUUGGAGCUGCAAAUGUGACAUUUAUUUCUUGAAAUACCUACAUCUUAUAUUAUGACUGGUUGUUCUUUUUGCAGGGCUUAGGACUAAUUCUAAUGAUGUUAAGCUUGAUAUAUAGGUAUGGCAACAGAGGUUGCUGGAUGUUAACUGUUAAUCACAAUGUAUCAGUAUUAAUUAUAUGCUAUUGUUUUUCUAGAUUCAAAGUAGUACAUUUUUGGGUAGAAAGACAAUACGAACUUUGUCUCUGAUGUAAUCAUUUUGCACUCAGUACGGUUGUGUUCCAUCUGGCAGGCUGCCUGCACAUGCAAUAAUUUGAUUAAGGAUGACACGAA
Molecule: long non-coding RNA, 3411 nt
Organism: Triticum dicoccoides
Lineage: Eukaryota; Viridiplantae; Streptophyta; Magnoliopsida; Poales; Poaceae
Exons: 3
Source: RefSeq, a predicted model, not a curated record